Molecule: long non-coding RNA, 561 nt
Filed under: Prunus dulcis (almond)
Lineage: Eukaryota; Viridiplantae; Streptophyta; Magnoliopsida; Rosales; Rosaceae
Description: sRNA ncRNA
Source: RNAcentral
AUGAUUGACUUUCUCUACUUUUUUCUCUUCACCCUCACCUUUAAUUUCCCUAAAUUAUGCCUAAAUUUGGAAAACUCAUAUCUGCACUUCCACUCUCCUCUUCUCCCCCAACACCCACCCAUAAAUGUUGUUCUUCAACCUACACUUCUCACCUCUACAUCCCUUGCCUCUUCUCUGUUAUGGUGUCUUCCACACAUUUCCUCCAGCUGUGUCCCGGCCCAAGAUCUCAACCAACAGCCACUGCUCCUCCGCUCCAUGGAUGAGGAUGCUUCAAAAGUGCUCGUUGCACUUGCUUCUAGAAUUAUGGUAGCACUUUUUGCGUGGGUGGUUUGUCCACCACCAUUGUCCGUUCUAAGCAUUGGUUUGUUAGGUUACUGGUUACCCAUCACUGGCGAUUGUGGAUCUGUGACAGCGAUGCGGCAAAUGGGAAGUAGCGGUUGUAGCUUCUCAUAUUUAGGAUUCUUCCUUUAUGUUUGUAUUGGGCUGGAUGUUUGUUUUAAAGUUUGCCCUUUAUAUAGCUUCUUUUUGCUUUCUGUUGGGCUGAGACCUUGUACCUCUUAG